UACGUAGGCAGCGAGCGUUGUUCGGAGUUACUGGGCGUAAAGGGUGCGUAGGCGGUUGUUUAAGUUUGGUGUGAAAUCUCCCGGCUCAACUGGGAGGGUGCGCCGAAUACUGAAUGACUAGAGUGCGGGAGAGGAUAGUGGAAUUCCUGGUGUAGCGGUGAAAUGCGUAGAUAUCAGGAGGAACACCGGUGGUGUAGACGGCUAUCUGGACCGUAACUGACGCUGAGGCACGAAAGCGUGGGGAGCGAACGGG
RNAcentral lists this ribosomal RNA (253 nucleotides) under uncultured bacterium. RNAcentral describes it as "partial 16S ribosomal RNA". It matches the Rfam family "Bacterial small subunit ribosomal RNA", at positions 524 to 776 of the family's 1533-position model. The record is from RNAcentral.